UUUUAUAAAUAAUUUAAUUAAGAUUAUUAGUAACAAAGAAUUGAAAUUAAUUUAUUUAUUUUGUUGGGGUGACAGAAAAAUAAAUAAAACUUUUUUUAAAAUAAAACAUAUAUAAGUGAUUAAAUGAUCCAUUAUUAAUGAUUAAAA
This 147-nucleotide ribosomal RNA is filed under the name Lycophotia porphyrea. RNAcentral describes it as "partial large subunit ribosomal RNA". The record is from RNAcentral. Lineage: Eukaryota; Metazoa; Arthropoda; Insecta; Lepidoptera; Noctuidae.